CCUACGGGAGGCAGCAGUAGGGAAUAUUGCUCAAUGGGGGAAACCCUGAAGCAGCAACGCCGCGUGGAGGAUGAAGGUUUUCGGAUUGUAAACCUCUUUUGCCGGGGAGCAACGGGCGUCACGUGUGGCGCCACUGAGAGUACCCGGAGAAAAAGCAUCGGCUAACUCCGUGCCAGCAGCCGCGGUAAUACGGAGGAUGCGAGCGUUAUCCGGAUUUAUUGGGUUAAAAGGGUGCGUAGGCGGAUCGUUAAGUCAGUGGUCAAAUUGAGGGGCUCAACCCCUUCCCGCCAUUGAAACUGGCGUUCUUGAGUGGAAGAGAAGUAUGCGGAAUGCGUGGUGUAGCGGUGAAAUGCAUAGAUAUCACGCAGAACCCCGAUUGCGAAGGCAGCAUGCCGGCUUCCGACUGACGCUGAAGCACGAAAGCGUGGGGAUCGAACGGGAUUAGAUACCCGUGUAGUC
Molecule: ribosomal RNA, 459 nt
Filed under: uncultured bacterium
Lineage: Bacteria
Description: partial 16S ribosomal RNA
Rfam family: Bacterial small subunit ribosomal RNA
Source: RNAcentral